AACGAACGCUGGCAGCAUGCCUAACACAUGCAAGUCGAACGAGAUCUUCGGGUCUAGUGGCGCACGGGUGCGUAACGCGUGGGAAUCUGCCCUUUGGUUCGGAAUAACAGUUGGAAACGACUGCUAAUACCGGAUGAUGACGAAAGUCCAAAGAUUUAUCGCCAGAGGAUGAGCCCGCGUAGGAUUAGCUAGUUGGUGUGGUAAAGGCGCACCAAGGCGACGAUCCUUAGCUGGUCUGAGAGGAUGAUCAGCCACGCUGGGACUGAGACACGGCCCAGACUCCUACGGGAGGCAGCAGUGGGGAAUAUUGGACAAUGGGCGAAAGCCUGAUCCAGCAAUGCCGCGUGAGUGAUGAAGGCCUUAGGGUUGUAAAGCUCUUUUACCCGGGAUGAUAAUGACAGUACCGGGAGAAUAAGCUCCGGCUAACUCCGUGCCAGCCGCCGCAGUAA
RNAcentral lists this ribosomal RNA (449 nucleotides) under uncultured bacterium. Its description in RNAcentral is "partial 16S ribosomal RNA". It matches the Rfam family "Bacterial small subunit ribosomal RNA", at positions 29 to 523 of the family's 1533-position model. The record is from RNAcentral.